This 359-nucleotide transfer RNA is filed under the name uncultured Microcystis sp. RNAcentral's name for it is "partial 16S-23S ribosomal RNA intergenic spacer". The stretch from base 135 to 208 matches the Rfam family "tRNA". Lineage: Bacteria; Bacillati; Cyanobacteriota; Cyanophyceae; Chroococcales; Microcystaceae. The record is from RNAcentral.
AAGGGAGACCUAAUUCCGGUAGGAGACGAAAAAAAAGUAGUCCCAACCAAGAAUCAAUCCCAAAAGGUCGGAGCGAGGCGAAAUUGGCUUUCAAACUAGGUUCUGGGUUCACAUAAGACCUGAAUCAGGAACAAGGGCUAUUAGCUCAGGUGGUUAGAGCGCACCCCUGAUAAGGGUGAGGUCCCUGGUUCGAGUCCAGGAUGGCCCACCUGUACAGGUGGAAGAAAGAAAAGAAGCUCCGAAUCAGCACCUUAUCUUACUUAUAUAGUAAGAGAGAAUGCUGGCUCUGAGUUCAGAGUCCAGAGGAACCUUGAAAACUGCAUAGAGCUAGGUGAAAAAGCCAAAAAAGAAGACCGCCA